UACAAGUAGUCAGAGCCCGUUAAUGGGUGAUGGCGUGCCUUUUGUAGAAUGAACCGGCGAGUUACGAUUUGAUGCAAGGUUAAGCAGUAAAUGUGGAGCCGUAGCGAAAGCGAGUCUGAAUAGGGCGUUUAGUAUUUGGUCGUAGACCCGAAACCAGGUGAUCUACCCUUGGUCAGGUUGAAGUUCAGGUAACACUGAAUGGAGGACCGAACCGACUUACGUUGAAAAGUGAGCGGAUGAACUGAGGGUAGCGGAGAAAUUCCAAUCGAACCUGGAGAUAGCUGGUUCUCUCCGAAAUAGCUUUAGGGCUAGCCUCAAGUGAUGAUUAUUGGAGGUAGAGCACUGUUUGGACGAGGGGCCCCUCUCGGGUUACCGAAUUCAGACAAACUCCGAAUGCCAAUUAAUUUAACUUGGGAGUCAGAACAUGGGUGAUAAGGUCCGUGUUCGAAAGGGAAACAGCCCAGACCACCAGCUAAGGUCCCAAAAUAUAUGUUAAGUGGAAAAGGAUGUGGCGUUGCCCAGACAACUAGGAUGUUGGCUUAGAAGCAGCCAUCAUUUAAAGAGUGCGUAAUAGCUCACUAGUCGAGUGACACUGCGCCGAAAAUGUACCGGGGCUAAACAUAUUACCGAAGCUGUGGAUUGUCCUUUGGACAAUGGUAGGAGAGCGUUCUAAGGGCGUUGAAGCAUGAUCGUAAGGACAUGUGGAGCGCUUAGAAGUGAGAAUGCCGGUGUGAGUAGCGAAAGACGGGUGAGAAUCCCGUCCACCGAUUGACUAAGGUUUCCAGAGGAAGGCUCGUCCGCUCUGGGUUAGUCGGGUCCUAAGCUGAGGCCGACAGGCGUAGGCGAUGGAUAACAGGUUGAUAUUCCUGUACCACCUAUAAUCGUUUUAAUCGAUGGGGGGACGCAGUAGGAUAGGCGAAGCGUGCGAUUGGAUUGCACGUCUAAGCAGUAAGGCUGAGUAUUAGGCAAAUCCGGUACUCGUUAAGGCUGAGCUGUGAUGGGGAGAAGACAUUGUGUCUUCGAGUCGUUGAUUUCACACUGCCGAGAAAAGCCUCUAGAUAGAAAAUAGGUGCCCGUACCGCAAACCGACACAGGUAGUCAAGAUGAGAAUUCUAAGGUGAGCGAGCGAACUCUCGUUAAGGAACUCGGCAAAAUGACCCCGUAACUUCGGGAGAAGGGGUGCUCUUUAGGGUUAACGCCCAGAAGAGCCGCAGUGAAUAGGCCCAAGCGACUGUUUAUCAAAAACACAGGUCUCUGCUAAACCGUAAGGUGAUGUAUAGGGGCUGACGCCUGCCCGGUGCUGGAAGGUUAAGAGGAGUGGUUAGCUUCUGCGAAGCUACGAAUCGAAGCCCCAGUAAACGGCGGCCGUAACUAUAACGGUCCUAAGGUAGCGAAAUUCCUUGUCGGGUAAGUUCCGACCCGCACGAAAGGCGUAACGAUUUGGGCACUGUCUCAACGAGAGACUCGGUGAAAUCAUAGUACCUGUGAAGAUGCAGGUUACCCGCGACAGGACGGAAAGACCCCGUGGAGCUUUACUGUAGCCUGAUAUUGAAAUUCGGCACAGCUUGUACAGGAUAGGUAGGAGCCUUUGAAACGUGAGCGCUAGCUUACGUGGAGGCGCUGGUGGGAUACUACCCUAGCUGUGUUGGCUUUCUAACCCGCACCACUUAUCGUGGUGGGAGACAGUGUCAGGCGGGCAGUUUGACUGGGGCGGUCGCCUCCUAAAAGGUAACGGAGGCGCUCAAAGGUUCCCUCAGAAUGGUUGGAAAUCAUUCAUAGAGUGUAAAGGCAUAAGGGAGCUUGACUGCGAGACCUACAAGUCGAGCAGGGUCGAAAGACGGACUUAGUGAUCCGGUGGUUCCGCAUGGAAGGGCCAUCGCUCAACGGAUAAAAGCUACCCCGGGGAUAACAGGCUUAUCUCCCCCAAGAGUUCACAUCGACGGGGAGGUUUGGCACCUCGAUGUCGGCUCAUCGCAUCCUGGGGCUGUAGUCGGUCCCAAGGGUUGGGCUGUUCGCCCAUUAAAGCGGUACGCGAGCUGGGUUCAGAACGUCGUGAGACAGUUCGGUCCCUAUCCGUCGUGGGCGUAGGAAAUUUGAGAGGAGCUGUCCUUAGUACGAGAGGACCGGGAUGGACAUACCUCUGGUGUACCAGUUGUCGUGCCAACGGCAUAGCUGGGUAGCUAUGUGUGGACGGGAUAAGUGCUGAAAGCAUCUAAGCAUGAAGCCCCCCUCAAGAUGAGAUUUCCCAACUUCGGUUAUAAGAUCCCUCAAAGAUGAUGAGGUUAAUAGGUUCGAGGUGGAAGCAUGGUGACAUGUGGAGCUGACGAAUACUAAUCGAUCGAAGACUUAAUCAA
RNAcentral lists this ribosomal RNA (2354 nucleotides) under Staphylococcus aureus W56246. RNAcentral describes it as "bacterial LSU rRNA". It matches the Rfam family "Bacterial large subunit ribosomal RNA", at positions 565 to 2925 of the family's 2925-position model. Lineage: Bacteria; Bacillati; Bacillota; Bacilli; Caryophanales; Staphylococcaceae. The record is from RNAcentral. RNAcentral also lists the same sequence under 3 other names.